This is a long non-coding RNA of Saccostrea echinata, 831 nucleotides long. RefSeq lists it as uncharacterized. Lineage: Eukaryota; Metazoa; Mollusca; Bivalvia; Ostreida; Ostreidae. The transcript has 6 exons. The record is from RefSeq and is a predicted model, not a curated record.
AACGAAUUACUACUUAAUCGUAACUGUUGUGGCGUGAUGCUUGAUUGUGAACCUAAUAACAUAGAAAUACUUAUUGGAUUAUACCUUCGAUGUCAUUCUGUGAUUUAUUUUAGUAUGUUAAUACCCCUCAUGAUGUUUAUUUUUUGCGAAUGUGUGCAUUUGGCCGGAAAACAAUCUGACAUUCCACCUUGAGAUGUUAUUUGAGAGUUGUUCCGUCCUUAAAUGUAAAGCAAGGAUUUAAAACAGUGUGAGAAAAGGUUAACAUUGUCGCCUAUGGGAAAUGUAUUGGUGGACUGUAUACCCCAUAUAUAUUGAGUACGUCUAUUGGUUCAUGGUGAUACAGGAAAACUUCAAGGUUCCUGCAGAUGGUGUUUAAAACUAUUGGCCAGUGAACACAAACCCAUUUAAUUAUAUUUUGAACCUUCACCAGGAGAAAAAAGAUGGCAGUACUUCUAAUGCAAGCAGCUACUAGGGAAGAUUUAAUGAAGGAAGAUGAGGAAGUGGAGAAAAAGCUGAAGAACAAGGAGGACAAGGUGAAGAAAGGACAAGGGCACAGUGACUUGCAGUGUGUGUCAUGUAACAUUAUUACAACAUCUAUAUCAUGGGUCCAUAAUUUUGAGUAAGUCAUUCAUCAACCACUUUAUCUGUACUGGAAACCAUUUCUGAGAGGGAUGAAGUGAUGGAAGAUAAUGAGCCAGAGGGUGGAACGGAAGAGAAAGGGAAAGAAAUAAAGAAAAAGGCAGAAUGAAAAAGGACUAGAACUUGCAAUAGAAGAAAAAGUUGAGGAAAUGAAGAGGAAGAAAUUGAAGAUGAAAAGAAGAGCUCUUGGAG